CUAGAUUCGAGGCGUUCGAAGGCCAUUUCGCGAGGCAAGGUUGUGUUGGAGUAGAGAUUUGCUCGGAUUAAGGUAAGUAACAGUUCUAAAUUUGGUUCUAAGGAUACGAAACCCCGUAUUAUAUGUCAUGUAUUUGGUUUUGGGGUGACGCACAUGCUAGGUGACGGGCGUGUGGGCAUGCACCGUAAGAAUUGUGACUUGGUCAAAUUCCAUGGAACUAUGUAGUUGAAUACUCUGUUGUUAUCUGUACUUUCUCCAUGUAUUAGAGAAAUUGAACAACAAAUCAGGUUAGAAAUCAUGUUUAGACUAUGUGAUAGCACUGUAGGGACCCACAGAGGUCGUGUACAUGUCGAAUUAUCUGCUAAAUUACUGUUUUGCACUCAGUCAUAGUUUUACUUGUAAAUUACAUCUCAGUCUCUAUUGUUUAUUAUUGAUGCAUUAUAUCAUUGCUUUUUGGGCUACUUAUCAUGAUUUCUGAGAGCCCGAGAGACUGGAGAGGUUGAUGACUGAGUGAGGCCGAGGGCCUGAUUGUGAGGAUAUUUAUGGGAUCGGGCUGUACGCCGCAACAUGUUUCACUGAUAUAUGCCAUGAUUGGCUUGUUAUAGCGCUUGGACUGAAAGAGCCCCUCCAGAGUCUGUACAUACCCCCAGUGAGGACUGGUACCUAUUGAGUGUGAGUGCUGAGUGAUUGAGAGGAAUGAGUGACUGUGAGGAAAGAGUGAUUCUGAGGUUGGAGUGAAUGGGAGGACUGAGUGACUGUUGCUCUGAGAGGAUGCAUUGACUUCAUUAUUUUGCAAUUCAGCUGUCAUAUAUCACUGUCUUGAAAUUUCUGAGAGAUAUUAUCUUAUGUUUUAUUUGAACUUGAAAUGAAUUUACUGUUUUGGUCUUAAUUGUCAAACUUGAAAGUAUGCCUAACUUCCUAUGUUGAAAUUAAUGUAAUUGGACUAUAACUGUGAAGGUCGUCACUUCUUUCAGUCCUUUAUUUAGUAUUGUUACUUACUGAGUUAGUUGUACUCACGCUACACCCUGCACUUCGUGUGCAGAUCCAGGUGUUUGCGGACACGGUGUGUGUUGAUUCCAUCACACAGUUGAUCUUUUGGAGAUUUCAAGGUAGUUGCCCGGCGUUUCGUAGACCUUGUCUCUCCUUUCCUAUCUUUCCGCUUAUUGUAUUU
RNAcentral lists this long non-coding RNA (1171 nucleotides) under Nicotiana tabacum (common tobacco). RNAcentral describes it as "long non-coding RNA (NTAB_LNC010159)". The record is from RNAcentral. Lineage: Eukaryota; Viridiplantae; Streptophyta; Magnoliopsida; Solanales; Solanaceae.